UUGUUGUAUAUUAUCUUAGUCAUAAUAUUCUUUACUGGGCUAGUUGAGCUCACCCUUUUCCUUUUUGUUCCAUUUUCUUCUCAGGAGGCGAGAAUAUAGCGAGUACGAGUCGGGGUAUGGAAUGAAGGUUCUAGGGAGAGUUGUUUAGUAGUCCUCACCAUUGUUGUAAAAUAAUGUAUCAAUAUUUAUGAUGAGGAUUUAUUUGUAUGUGGAUAUUGUCUAGAUGGCAAUAUAUGUAUUUAAACUCACAGUUUUACUAUUGUAAUAAUAAAGUUGUAGUUGUUUCUGUACCGUGUUUUGACAACUCAGAAUGG
RNAcentral lists this long non-coding RNA (314 nucleotides) under Panax ginseng (ginseng). Its description in RNAcentral is "long non-coding RNA (PGIN_LNC013962)". Lineage: Eukaryota; Viridiplantae; Streptophyta; Magnoliopsida; Apiales; Araliaceae. The record is from RNAcentral.